CUGACGGAGCAAUGCCGCGUGAAGGAUGAAUGCCUAUGGGUUGUAAACUUCUUUUCUCAGAGAAGAAUUUUGACGGUAUCUGAGGAAUAAGCAUCGGCUAACUCCGUGCCAGCAGCCGCGGUAAGACGGAGGAUGCAAGCGUUAUCCGGAUUAAUUGGGCGUAAAGCGUCUGUAGGUGGUUUCAUAAGUCUACUGCUAAAAAUCAGGGCCUAACCCUGGGCAGGCAGAGGAAACUAUUAGACUUGAGUACGGUAGGGGCAAAGGGAAUUCCCGGUGAAGCGGUGAAAUGCGUAGAGAUCGGGAGGAACACCAAUGGCGAAGGCACUCUGCUGGGCCGUAACUGACACUGAGAGACGAAAGCUAGGGUAGCAAAUGGGAUUA
RNAcentral lists this ribosomal RNA (381 nucleotides) under uncultured Chlorophyta. RNAcentral describes it as "bacterial SSU rRNA". It matches the Rfam family "Bacterial small subunit ribosomal RNA", at positions 383 to 780 of the family's 1533-position model. The record is from RNAcentral. Lineage: Eukaryota; Viridiplantae; Chlorophyta.